CCUACGGGAGGCAGCAGUGAGGAAUAUUGGUCAAUGGGCGCGAGCCUGAACCAGCCAAGUCGCGUGAGGGAGGACGGCCCUACGGGUUGUAAACCUCUUUUGCCGGGGAGCAACGGGCGUCACGUGUGGCGCCACUGAGAGUACCCGGAGAAAAAGCAUCGGCUAACUCCGUGCCAGCAGCCGCGGUAAUACGGAGGAUGCGAGCGUUAUCCGGAUUUAUUGGGUUUAAGGGGUGCGUAGGCGGAUCGUUAAGUCAGUGGUCAAAUGGAGGGGCUCAACCCCUUCCCGCCAUUGAAACUGGCGCUCGUGAGUGGAAGAGAAGUAUGCGGAAUGCGUGGUGUAGCGGUGAAAUGCAUAGAUAUCACGCAGAACCCCGAUUGCGAAGGCAGCAUGCCGGCUUCCGACUGACGCUGAAGCACGAAAGCGUGGGGAUCGAACAGGAUUAGAUACCCCAGUAGUC
Molecule: ribosomal RNA, 460 nt
Filed under: uncultured bacterium
Lineage: Bacteria
Description: partial 16S ribosomal RNA
Rfam family: Bacterial small subunit ribosomal RNA
Source: RNAcentral